This 2548-nucleotide long non-coding RNA is filed under the name Zostera marina. RNAcentral describes it as "long non-coding RNA (ZMAR_LNC001290)". Lineage: Eukaryota; Viridiplantae; Streptophyta; Magnoliopsida; Alismatales; Zosteraceae. The record is from RNAcentral.
UUUCUUAAACCAGACCUGACAUCAUAUAUGCAAUAAAUCAAGUGACUCAAUUUCUACAAGAACCAAAAAUAAGUCAUCUAAUGGCAACAAAAAGAAUAUUGAAGUAUCUAAAAGGAACACUCAGUCAUGGACUGAGAUUUACUAAACAACCACAUAAUAACAGAAUUUAUGGUUUUAGUGAUGCAGAUUUUGUUGAUGAUCCUAGCACCAGGAAAUCAAUCACUGGGGCCUACAUUUUUGUUGGAGGAAAUCUGGUCACAUGAAUCUCAAAGAAACGAAACAUGUAUCCAGAUCCAGUGCAGAAUCUGAAUAUAGAGCAUUGGCAUGCACAAUUGACAGCUGAAGUAAGAUGGUGCUCUUUUAUCUGCAGAGAUCUAAAAAUAAAAAUAGAUUAUAUACCCAUGCUUGCUUGUGACAACAGUUCAACCAUUUUCAUGACUUUGAAUCCUGUCAUUCGACAUAAAUCAAAACAUAUAGAGAUAGAUAUUCACUUCAUCAGAGAGUUAAUCUCAAAUAGAAAUAUACAACUAAAACAUGUAUAUUCAGCAAAACAAGUUACUGAUGUGUUCACAAAAGCUGUGAAACAUGAGAUCUUUAUAGAUUUAUGUCAUAAAUUAAGAAUGAACUUCAAUAUCAAAUAAAAUAUCAUGUUUUUUUUCCUUUCUUGUUUCUUUUUCCUUUUAUUCUUCUAAUUUCUCUCUUCUCCUGUUAUUUGCCUGUUAUUUUCUUUUGUUAUUGUGUUUAAUGUUCAAUCAAAUAAUCUGGUUGCUACACUAUUAGACACUGUUUCCAGGUCAAGCAAAGAGAUAAAGGAUAAAAUAACAAGAUUUUUUUUUUGAUGCCUUUAAUAUUGAUGAUGGAUUCCUUACAAAUGUUAAGUGCUAUGUUUAGGUAGGAUAUGUGAAGGGUUUUCCAAGGAAAAGACGGGAAAGACCGCAACAAAAGAUGAAACUCAACUCUCACAUCAACUUUAUUAAUCUAGAUCAGGGUACUGGUACUGAUGAUCAGUAAAGAUGAUGUAGAUACUGGGAUUUUUCUUUCCUAUAUUUACCUAACUAAAUAUGAACAUGACAUCUCAAUCUCUAAGUUUAAGACAAAUUCUCACAUUUGAGUUCAAAGAUUUUCAAAGUCAAAAUGCUUGAAUUUGCGGAGGAUUGUUAAAUAGUAAAGCAGUUAGUCGUAGUUAGGGAUUAGUUAGAGAUAAGUGUCUAUAUAAGCUAAUGUAAACAUUGUGAUAUUCAUUCAAUCAAAGAGUCAUUUUUCACUUUCAUUCUAUUUGGGUUCCAUUUUACGGAGCAUUGAGUUUUCCAAGAAAAGGUACUCAACAGACGUCGGAACGAAUAGGGAAAUGUAAUUUUUAGAUUGAAAAUUCCGUCCCGAUCGAAUAAAAUCUGUUUUUAUAUCUAUUAAAGAAAUUGCAAUUUAUUUAAAUUAAGAGGACCAUGGCACAAUAGUUCCCACUUAAACUUGCCUCAAGAUGGAUUACAUAAUGUAAUCCCUAGUCCAAAUUGGUGCGGCGGUCCUUCUCCUCUUUCUCCAGCUCAGACCCGGUCAGUCGUCGUUGGGAGGCAGUUGAUCAUCGUCGUCAUCACUGCUGCAGUUCAGUUCUUCUCUCGUUACUGCAUUGGUUCUAAUCAAUUCAGUAUCUCCUUGAAUGGAGGUAUAGCCAAUCAAGUGUGUACUGCAUUUACAAAAAAAAAAGUUAGCAUUUUAAAAGACGUUGUUUUCUGUUUAUGUUGUUAUUUAUUUCCGGAAACAAAUAAAAAUGCUUUUAAUUUUUAGUAAAAUUUUGAAUUUGAAUGAAAUUGGAGAGUUGACCGUAAAGUUGAUUGAGAAAAGAAAAGAUAUCGUAUUUCUUUUGGUAUUUCGUUUGUUAAAAUUAACACUCACAAUACCAGUUGUGACUGUUUCAGUGGAAAGGUUUUUUUCAACAAUGAAUUUUGUGAAAUCAAGUUAUCGCAAUCUUAUGGAUGAUGUUUGGUUGAAUGAUAUUUUAAUAACAUAUGUUAAAAAAGAUUUAUUUUCUAGUGUUAGUAAUGAUAAUAUUAUGUAUCGGUAUCAAAAUAUGACACCUCGUCGAGAACAAUUGGAUUGGAAAAAAAAAUUGAAUUUGGUUAAAUGAUUUAAAAUUAACCCCCCGAAGAAAAAAAAUUCCUGGAUUCGCUUCUGCGAACUAUAUUACAUAUAAGAAAGAAAACAGUGAAAAGAAACAAAGGAGAGGGAAGAGUAGAAGGUUCGCUCGAAGACAUACCCGAGAAGACACGGCAGCGCUUUCGAAGUCGUUCUCCAACGACAACAGCAGUAAACAAUCAGCCUACACAGAAUGCUGGUGUUUACUUCCAAACUCUUCUAGAAUCUCUGGGAAGAGGCAGAAGAGGCUAUGGAGCCACAAAGUGGUGUACAUCAUCAUCAUACACCUGUAACGAAGUCAGUAACAUGUCUUCAUCAUCAUUGUAUCAAUUAUUUUUAUUUUGGUGAGACGUCAAUUCCAUCUUCACAUUUUCCAUACGGCAUCUUCUUCAUCUCAAUCAAUGAAUCACGAAAUCAC